AGGCAUGACUGCAGCCACCGCGAAGAUGUUAGCAUUGCCUGCUACCCUGGCGGCGAGGGACACAGGCUCUCUCUGGGUUUUCCUGUCAGACUGAUGGAUGGAGAAAAUAAGAAAGAAGGACGAGUGGAGGUUUUUAUCAAUGGCCAGUGGGGAACAAUCUGUGAUGAUGGAUGGACUGAUAAGGAUGCAGCUGUGAUCUGUCGUCAGCUUGGCUAUAACAUUAUUUGCAAUAGCCAAGAUAUGGAAACAGCCUAAAUGAAUGGAUGAAGAAAAUGUGAGGCUUUCAAACUUUGGAGGAAUGCACUGUGGUAGGAUUUGGAAUGAGUGCAAGAUAUGCUUUUUGUGAAGUGAGAGAAGAGAAGUUUUGAAAGAGAAGUUUGAUCUUGAUAGCAGCAAGAUUAUUUUUAAGAAAUAAUAUAUGUGAAAUUUGAGGAUAUAAAAAUUAGAUUCACUUAGAGCCUGUGUAUCCCUUGGAAAGUUAUUAUCUACCAGGAGCACUUGACAUCCAGUUUAAAGACUAAUUAUUAGAAACUGUUGUGUCAUUGAAAUUUUCAGCUGUGAAUUACUAGAUUCAGUAAACCAGUGAGAAACCUUUCCCUUUUUUCUGUGGAUGGCAGAGUCCUUAAUUGUUUAAAGAAAGAGUAGUCAAAAGAAAAUGUAUUAGAUUUCACUAUAUCAAUGAGAAUUUAUUUAAUCAUGUGCUGUUAUUGGCUAAAAUGUUCUCUAAUUUCUACUUAUCGAUAUAUCUAAAAUGGUGCUUUUUUUUUAGUUUGUGCAAGUUGAUCAGUUCCUAAGAAAUGUUCCUUUUGGUUUAUUUAAAUGAGUUAAAUUUUAUUUUCUGUAUGUCUACUUCUACCUGCCGUCUAGUUUUAUGUUAUUUAUCAU
RNAcentral lists this small RNA (885 nucleotides) under Pongo abelii (Sumatran orangutan). RNAcentral's name for it is "retained intron". Lineage: Eukaryota; Metazoa; Chordata; Mammalia; Primates; Hominidae. The record is from RNAcentral.